Molecule: transfer RNA, 71 nt
Filed under: Marmota monax (woodchuck)
Lineage: Eukaryota; Metazoa; Chordata; Mammalia; Rodentia; Sciuridae
Description: tRNA.Val
Rfam family: tRNA
About the family: Transfer RNA (tRNA) molecules are approximately 80 nucleotides in length. Their secondary structure includes four short double-helical elements and three loops (D, anti-codon, and T loops). Further hydrogen bonds mediate the characteristic L-shaped molecular structure. tRNAs have two regions of fundamental functional importance: the anti-codon, which is responsible for specific mRNA codon recognition, and the 3' end, to which the tRNAs corresponding amino acid is attached (by aminoacyl-tRNA synthetases). tRNAs cope with the degeneracy of the genetic code in two manners: having more than one tRNA (with a specific anti-codon) for a particular amino acid; and 'wobble' base-pairing, i.e. permitting non-standard base-pairing at the 3rd anti-codon position.
Source: RNAcentral
GGGGUUAUAGCUCAGUGGUAGAGUGCUUGCCUCACAAGCAUGAGGCACUGGGUUGGAUCCUCAGUACCACA